This 253-nucleotide ribosomal RNA is filed under the name uncultured bacterium. RNAcentral describes it as "partial 16S ribosomal RNA". It matches the Rfam family "Bacterial small subunit ribosomal RNA", at positions 524 to 775 of the family's 1533-position model. The record is from RNAcentral.
UACGUAGGGUGCAAGCGUUAAUCGGAAUUACUGGGCGUAAAGCGUGCGUAGGUGGUGAGUUAAGUCUGAUGUGAAAUCCCCGGGCUCAACCUGGGAAUGGCAUUGGAUACUGGCUCGCUAGAGUGCGGUAGAGGGUGGUGGAAGUUCCCGGUGUAGCAGUGAAAUGCGUAGAGAUCGGGAGGAACACCUGUGGCGAAAGCGGCUCACUGGACCACAACUGACGCUGAUGAGCGAAAGCGUGGGGAGCAACAGG